AAAGUCUUAGUUAAAUAAAUAACAUUAUUUUGUCAAAUUAAAAUUACUAUUAAUAGUAGACUUUU
Molecule: transfer RNA, 65 nt
Filed under: Cryptocephalus pominorum
Lineage: Eukaryota; Metazoa; Arthropoda; Insecta; Coleoptera; Chrysomelidae
Description: tRNA-Asp
Source: RNAcentral